This is a long non-coding RNA of Acanthopagrus latus (yellowfin seabream), 3042 nucleotides long. RefSeq lists it as uncharacterized. The record is from RefSeq and is a predicted model, not a curated record. The transcript has 2 exons. Lineage: Eukaryota; Metazoa; Chordata; Actinopteri; Spariformes; Sparidae.
GGAGGCUCAGUAUUUCACCGCAGUUUCUAGUCAGCGCGCACUACGCCAUGUUGGUAUUUCCGAAGCAGAUUAUGCAAUGCAAUUCAUCUACCUAAAACCGCCCAUUCCGCUCCUAACACACUUGUUCAUGCUACAUGCAAGGAAACUAAACAACCAACACCAGUAAAUGCACAACCUUUGGAUUCAUCAUGCAUCAUAAUACCGGGCAGUAAUAUAAACUGUAAUCUUAUCGCCAGAGAUGCGACAAAAAUGUCCACAUCCAACGUUAGCCAACCAUAACGUAAUCACCAAAAUGUCUUCCUGAUGUUUACAAAAAACAUUUCAUAUUUUUAAAUGAGGGCUGGCUCCUCUGUUUUAGAUGCGUACACGCGUAAUAACGUUAUUUCAUAAUCUCUCAUUCUCAGCAGCUUCCGCGGAAAACCAUUAUAAGAUCAGUGGUUUGUAUCGUGAAGCCGUACCAGUAAAAAUAAAUAAAUAAAUAAAUAAAUUAAAAAUGAAGAAAAAAAUUUACCCCCAGCCACCGAUCGUCACAUCACAACCAAACUGCGCGAAGCGAAAGAUAAUUAUCUGUGUGAACCAUGUCACUCUAUACACUGCGUGCAAAUUAAUGCGCUUCGCUUCUGUGCUAACGUUAGCUCGGGAAAGCUGCUGAUGUAAGAAACACAACCUGCUGGAAAGCUAGCGUGAGGCUCCCAUAAGCCAACUGCAGUGAAACGCUACCUACCCUCAUCACAUUAUCUAUCAUUUGGUAGCUUUCCUUUCUAGUGGCACGACUUGGCCAUUUCUGUUUUUUGGGGGGGUUAUUUUUUUUUUUUAGCCCACUUUGAGCUCUACGCCAACCUCGUUAGGCGAGUAAACAUUUUAGACACUAACUACGUAGCCUACGCUCACAUCAGUGCUAGUUUUUUCUUUUCUUCCAGUCAAUAACGCCUGGAGGAUUAUUUAUUAUGCGUUAAAAGGCAUGGUUCACACGUGCAAUUAACGUCAGAGUUAAAUCCAGGGUCGUGAAACACCAUGAACGGAGAGAAUCUGGCCAUAAUAACAAGACACCUCGGUCGUUAUGCAUCACAACUUAUUUUAAAACAACGCUUUGAGAUCUAUUGCAGAGCGGAGACAUGGUGUGCAUUGCAAUUAGACUCAGGAAAUAAAUACAAGGCAGCCCGCUGUAAAUCUACGGGGACCGUCGUUGGCCUUCAGUACAGUAUGUGGAACUAACUCGCCCACCACCACCACCACAACAGCACCAGAACAGCAGCAGCAGCAGCAGCCUUACACCUACAGCCAGCGGCCACGUGAAGGAGCUCUCCUCCACCUGAUGGUUAAAUGCAGCCAAAGCCUAAAUACAACAACAACAACAUCCAGCUGUGGGAGAGCCGGGCUGGUGGAAAGCGGUAAAUAAAAUCUAAUAUGUACAACAAUCAAAAAGCUACAGCGCCUACACUGAUUACUUAAACUACUGGAGUGGACAUUAACACAACAAUAUUAUUAAAAUGCAAUUUAAUCUUUUGUUUAGUCCAUCUCAGAGGCGGUUGAUUAGUAAUUUGGGAAAGGGCCGUGCCAUAUGUCUACAUUACAACACUACUGUUAUAUGAAACUACAUAUCAUAUUGUUAUUUCCUGGUUUUAAAAGUUGCAUCACUUUCUGAAAUGACUAAACUGUUUUAUUUGUUUGAACACUUGCAUUUACCUACUUAGUCAUUACUCAUGAUUAUUUAUUUCAAAUUCAUGACCGUACCAAUAGUCAUCCCUGAUGACAUAAAUAUCAUAUUUCAUUUGUCACCUAGUCCUAUUUAUGAGGUGAUUUUAAAGAGAUUUUAAAAUGCCUAAAUAUUCCAAUGUUGUGUAAAAGCUAUAAUUUAAGGCUGUAGCUUGUUGGUUGUGUUGGACUGGAUUAAAACUGAAUUUAAUAAUAUAAUAUUUCAUAAUACUCAAUAAAACUUUACAUACAAGCUUUGUUGAGUUGGAAUAAGACUCGAAAUCAACUUUUUCCAAAGUGGACUUUUGAAUAGUGCAGAGUAUUGUUUUCAUGUGCCACGAAGCACUUUAACAAUUUAAUAUGGUGAAUAAAAAUAACAAUUUAAUGUUAAAUGUUAUAUAACCACAAGCAGUCGUUCAAAAAGAAGAGUCCAUUUUGAUUUGAAUUUGAAACUACUUGAUCAAACAAUAAGAUAACAAGCUUUCAAGUUUUGACAGACAUUGGGUGUAAUGGACACAUUAGUCUGUAUCAAAUAAGUAGUUAGCCUCAGCUUAAAAAGAUCAAAAUUUUUGCAGGGCUGUUGUGUUGGACAGCAUUCUGUUGUACAGGUAGUCCUUUACAUGUGUCCACCUCAUGUAAUCCUGAAAACUAGAAAUUGGACUUGUAUCUAUGAGGCCUUUUAUUAGUAUUCAGCUAUUGUGACUUGUACUGGCAGAUACAUAAAUUGAAUUCCUUGAAAUUCAAUAGCAUGCAGGUCUAUAUUAAGAUCCUAAUAGAUUUAGUCACACAAUGAAAGUCUGUCUUCAGCCCUGCGGUGACCAGAUUUACAUGUGACACUGAUAACGGGGGAAUUGUAACUCGGCUCUUUGAUGUUUCAUUCUGCUCAGUAUUUGUCUGCAGUUAUUAUUAAUAAAGCAUGAUGUUACCGAGUGGUGGUGGAACACAAGUUAUAGUUCACUAAGUAAUUUAUAGAUCUUUCACAUUUUAACAGUGUAUUACAUGGUACAUAAAGAGAAUUGUUGGAUGUAACUGCCCUGUGUUUUAUAAAUUAAAACUAUCCGUUUUGAUAUGUUAUUGUUACAACACUGAUUUGUGCAACUCUUCACAAAGAUCAGUUCAGUAUUUACAGUAGAGAUGGAAGAAAAUAUCAAUACGGCAUGCAUAAAACAUGCAUUUGCCCUAAACAGAUUCCCCUGACAAAUGUACUUACUAGAGCCACCAUUUAAUGACUCCUUAUGGUGUAAAGCUUCUGUAAACGUAAUUUGCAAAGGUUGAAAGGGAUGUAUAGUGAGGCACAGUGGUUUACUUUAAAGAAACAAACAUUUUAACUGCAGAACUGUUCAGUCU